GACCAGACUCCUACGGGAGGCAGCAGUGGGGAAUAUUGCACAAUGGGGGAAACCCUGAUGCAGCGACGCCGCGUGAGUGAAGAAGUAUUUCGGUAUGUAAAGCUCUAUCAGCAGGGAAGAAAUAGCGACCUUUGGGUCGCCAGACGGUACCUGAUUAAGAAGCCCCGGCUAACUACGUGCCAGCAGCCGCGGUAAUACGUAGGGGGCAAGCGUUAUCCGGAUUUACUGGGUGUAAAGGGAGCGCAGGCGGCUUGGCAAGUCUGAUGUGAAAGGCUGGGGCUCAACCCCAGGACUGCAUUGGAAACUGUUAGGCUGGAGUGUCGGAGAGGUAAGCGGAAUUCCUAGUGUAGCGGUGAAAUGCGUAGAUAUCAGGAGGAACACCGGCGGCGAAGGCGGCCUGCUGGACCGCGACUGACGUUGAGGCUCGAAAGCGUGGGGAGCGAACAGGAUUAGAUACCCCUGUA
RNAcentral lists this ribosomal RNA (464 nucleotides) under uncultured bacterium. RNAcentral describes it as "bacterial SSU rRNA". It matches the Rfam family "Bacterial small subunit ribosomal RNA", at positions 329 to 792 of the family's 1533-position model. The record is from RNAcentral.